AGUGAACGCUGGCGGCAGGCCUAACACAUGCAAGUCGAACGAACGCUCCGGGUUUCGUGGCGCUUAGGGGCGGACCGCGGGGGAACGCGUCGGUAACCUCCGAAUAAUUCAGGGAAACCUGUGCUAAAAGCGGGCUAGUACCGCGUGUGGAAGUGUUAUCGUCCUUAGGGCGGCCGGCGUCCGACUAGCCAGGUGGGUGGGGUAAUGGCUUACCAAGGCGACGAUCUGUAGGUGGUCUGAGAGGACGAUCAGCCACAUUGGGACUGAGACACGGCCCAGACUCCUACGGGAGGCAGCAGUGGGGAAUCUUGCGCAAUGGGGGAAAGCCUGAAGCAGCCAUGCCGCGUGAGGGAUGAAGGUCUUAGGGUUGUAAAAUUCUUUUAUCGGGGACGAUGAUGACGGUACCCGGAGAAUAAGCCCCGGCUAACUUCGUG
This 434-nucleotide ribosomal RNA is filed under the name uncultured bacterium. Its description in RNAcentral is "partial 16S ribosomal RNA". It matches the Rfam family "Bacterial small subunit ribosomal RNA", at positions 28 to 507 of the family's 1533-position model. The record is from RNAcentral.